GUGAGGAAUUUUCCGCAAUGGGCGAAAGCCUGACGGAGCAAUGCCGCGUGAAGGAUGAAGGCCUAUGGGUUGUAAACUUCUUUUCUCAGAAAAGAAUUAUGACGGUAUCUGAGGAAUAAGCAUCGGCUAACUCUGUGCCAGCAGCCGCGGUAAGACAGAGGAUGCAAGCGUUAUCCGGAAUGAGUGGGCGUAAAGCGUCUGUAGGUUGUUUAAAAAGUAUUCUGUCAAAGAUUAGGGCUUAACCCUAGAUAGGCAGAAUAAACUUUUAAGCUAGAGUUUGGUAGAGGCAGAGGGAAUUCCCGGUGGAGCGGUGAAAUGCGUAGAUAUCGGGAGGAACACCAAAGGCGAAGGCACUCUGCUGGGCCAAUACUAACACUGAGAGACGAAAGCGAGGGGAGCAAAUGGGAUUAGAAACCCGUGUAGUCC
Molecule: ribosomal RNA, 426 nt
Filed under: uncultured bacterium
Lineage: Bacteria
Description: partial 16S ribosomal RNA
Rfam family: Bacterial small subunit ribosomal RNA
Source: RNAcentral